CUCUUUCUGUAGAUUCUCGAAGACUUCAAAACUCCUUGUGUUUAAGUCAUAGAGUUUGUUUAGGAGUUGCAAGAUUGUAAUUUUGUAUUUUCUUUGGAUUUUUCACGUGAGAAGUUCAUUGUUUUGGUGAUGGCAAUGAAUUUCAUUUUUUUGUUUGGAGAGUUGAGCGUUGUGAGUAUUUUGAUGUUUUUUUGAGUUUUGUCACGAAAUUGCCAAAGGGAGAGAUUGUUACGGAUUUUAUGUUGGCAUAUUUCGUGAAGUUAGUCGGAGUCUUGAAUGUUGGAAGAAGAAGAGAUGAAGAUCGAAGACUCGAAGACUCAAAACAUGAAUGCACAAUGCUCGGUAAGUUUAAAUAUCAUUGAUGAUGAUUUAUAAAUGUUUAAAAGUGUUUGGAAGACUUAGGAUAGUUUUUAAAAUAUGAAUCUGGACAAACUGAGUUUUUCAAUGUGUUGGGACCGGUCCCCAGAGUUGAGAGACCGGUCCCCAAGGGUCCUCACUGCGUGGGAUGUUGAGGCAACCGGUCUCUGGAAAGGGAGACCGGUUCUCGAAUAUGGGAUUUUCUGUCACGCAGCGAGGGACCGGUCUCUGG
RNAcentral lists this long non-coding RNA (589 nucleotides) under Ananas comosus (pineapple). RNAcentral describes it as "long non-coding RNA (ACOM_LNC019651)". Lineage: Eukaryota; Viridiplantae; Streptophyta; Magnoliopsida; Poales; Bromeliaceae. The record is from RNAcentral.